AAUUAAUCGGCCAUUCCGAUUAAUCGAUCAACCUCUAUUCUGAACUAUGCAAGUCCUGUCUUCUGAUCAUUUCCUCAAUGUUUUUAUAUGUCAGAAUCAUGUAAUUACACAUGAAUAGAAGUUACUUUUGGUUAUGUCUAUUUUGGCAGAAAUCAAUAUUUUGCCAUUUCAUUUUAAGAGGUUUACGAAAUUUCCAGGCAGAGUUAGUUUAUCACCCAUUGACUCCUGGUUUUGGGUGUGGGGGAUGGCUGGUGGGUGAGCUGCUUGAGAGUGCUGUGAGAUGGUGAAGUCACCAGCAGGGGACGUCCUAACACAGGCUUCCUUAUGUAUUGCUACAGAUAGAGAAUUGUCCAAUGGAGGUCCGUGGACAACUCUGCUCGGGGGGCUUCAGGGAUGUCUGGAUUUCACCCACAUUAACAUCAACCAGCACAUGCGUCUGUAUCUGCUGUUCAGACUCCUCCAUUGAGAACUGCAUUGAACUUGUCAAUGUUCAAUAAGAAAAGAUUUUGGGGGCUCUCAUGUGUCUGCAGCAAGACCAGCCCUAAAUUUGGCAAGGAAGCCUGCUCAGGUGAAUCAAAUACAGGCAAAACUGUGAAAAGCUUGGUUUGUGUUGAUCUGUUUUUAUAACAGUAUACCUUAAAUAAUCUUAAGGUAAUUAUACACUACUGUUCAAAGGUUUGGGGUCACUUAGAAAUGUCCUUGUUUUCCAUGAAAACAUACUUGAAAUGAAUUACAAAAUGAAUAGGAAAUAUAUUUAAGACAUUGAUAAGGUUAUACAUUUUUUUUUUUUUUUACAUUUAAAUAAUAAUUAUGUCCUUCAAACUUUGCUUUCGUCAAAGAAUCCUCAAUUUGCAGCAAUUACAGCCUUGCAGACCUUUGGCAUUCUAGUUGUUCAUUUGUUGAGGUAAUCUGAAGAGAUUUCAUCCCAUGCUUCCUGAAGCACCUCAUAUAAGUUGGUUGGCUUGAUGGGCACUUCUUACUGCUGCUUCCACAACAGCUCAAUAGGGUUGAGAUCCAGUGACUGUGCUGGCCACUCCAUCAUAGACAGAAUACCAGCUGAGUACUUCUUCCCUAAAUAGUUAUUGCGUAGUUUGGAGCUGUGCUUUGGGUCAUUGUCCUGUUGUAGGAGGAAAUUGGCUCCAAUUAAGUGCCGCCCACAGGCUAUGGCAUAGCGUUGCAAAAUGGAGUGAUAGCCUUCCUUCUUCAAGAUGCCUUUUACCCUGUACAAAUCUCCCACUUUACCACCACCAAAGCAACCUCAGACCAUCACAUUGCCUCUACCAUGCUUGACAGAUGGCGUCAAGCACUCCUCCAGCAAGCACUCCUCUUACGAAUGUUCUUCUUUGUGAUCCGAACAUUCGUCUGUCCAUAACACAUUUUUCCAAUCUUCCUCUGUCCAGUGUCUGUGUUCUUUUGCCCAUCUUAAUUUUUUAUUUUUAUUGGUCAGUCUGAGAGUCGCCUCUUCACUGUUGACAUUGAGACUGGUGUUUUGCGGGUACUAUUUAAUGAAGCUGCCAGUUGAGGACUUGUGAGGCAUCUGUUUCUCAAACUAGACAAUUUAAUGUACUUGUCCUCUUGCUCAGUUGUGCACCGGGGCCUCCCACUCCUCUUUCUAUUCUGGUUAGAGCCAGUUUGCGCUGUUCUGUGAAGGGAGUAGUACACAGCGUUAUAUGAGAACUUCAGUUUCUUGGCAAUUUCUCGCAUGGAAUAGCCUUCAUUUCUCAGAAAAAGAAUAGACUGACGAGUUUCAGAAGAAAGUUCUUUGUUUCUGGCCAUUUGAGCCUGUAAUCGAACCCACAAAUGCUGAUUCUUCAGAUACUCAACUAGUCUAAAGAAGGCCAGUUUUAUUGCUUCUUUAAUUGACACAACAGUUUUCAACUGUGCUAACAUGAUUGCAAAAGGGUUUUCUAAUGAUCAAUUAGCCUUUUAAAAUUAUAAACAUGGAUUAGUUAACACAACGUGUCAUUGGAAUACAACCCGGGCUGGCAAAACCCUGGAUCGUUGUUAUUCUAACUUCCGCAACGCAUAUAAAGCCCUCCCCCGCCCUCCUUUCGGAAAAUCUGACCGACUCCAUUUUGUUGCUCCCAGCCUAUAGACAGAAACUAAAACAGGAAGCGUCCGUGCUCAGGUCUGUUCAAAGCUGGUCCGACCAAUCGGAUUCGACGCUUCAAGAUUGCU
Long non-coding RNA from Oncorhynchus kisutch (coho salmon), 2178 nucleotides. The record is from Ensembl. NCBI's taxonomy places the organism in Eukaryota, Metazoa, Chordata, Actinopteri, Salmoniformes, Salmonidae.